This 450-nucleotide ribosomal RNA is filed under the name uncultured bacterium. RNAcentral's name for it is "bacterial SSU rRNA". It matches the Rfam family "Bacterial small subunit ribosomal RNA", at positions 354 to 796 of the family's 1533-position model. The record is from RNAcentral.
GUGGGGAAUUUUGGACAAUGGGCGCAAGCCUGAUCCAGCAAUGCCGCGUGCAGGAAGAAGGCCUUCGGGUUGUAAACUGCUUUUGUACGGAACGAAACGGUCCUGGUUAAUACCUGGGGCUAAUGACGGUACCGUAAGAAUAAGCACCGGCUAACUACGUGCCAGCAGCCGCGGUAAUCCGUAGGGUGCGAGCGUUAAUCGGACUUACUGGGCGUAAAGCGUGCGCAGGCGGUGCUGUAAGACAGGCGUGAAAUCCCCGGGCUCAACCUGGGAAUUGCGCUUGUGACUGCAGUGCUGGAGUACGGCAGAGGGGGAUGGAAUUCCGCGUGUAGCAGUGAAAUGCGUAGAUAUGCGGAGGAACACCGAUGGCGAAGGCAGUCCCCUGGGCCUGUACUGACGCUCAUGCACGAAAGCGUGGGGAGCAAACAGGAUUAGAUACCCCAGUAGUCC